This 23-nucleotide non-coding RNA is filed under the name Mus musculus (house mouse). The record is from RNAcentral. Lineage: Eukaryota; Metazoa; Chordata; Mammalia; Rodentia; Muridae.
UAGAUAGCAAUAUAGGCUUUGCC